GCUUAACACAUGCAAGUCGAGGGGCAGCAUGGUCUUAGCUUGCUAAGGCCGAUGGCGACCGGCGCACGGGUGAGUAACACGUAUCCAACCUGCCGUCUACUCUUGGACAGCCUUCUGAAAGGAAGAUUAAUACAAGAUGGCAUCAUGAGUCCGCAUGUUCACAUGAUUAAAGGUAUUCCGGUAGACGAUGGGGAUGCGUUCCAUUAGAUAGUAGGCGGGGUAACGGCCCACCUAGUCUUCGAUGGAUAGGGGUUCUGAGAGGAAGGUCCCCCACAUUGGAACUGAGACACGGUCCAAACUCCUACGGGAGGCAGCAGUGAGGAAUAUUGGUCAAUGGGCGAGAGCCUGAACCAGCCAAGUAGCGUGAAGGAUGACUGCCCUAUGGGUUGUAAACUUCUUUUAUAAAGGAAUAAAGUCGGGUAUGGAUACCCGUUUGCAUGUACUUUAUGAAUAAGGAUCGGCUAACUCCGUGCCAGCAGCCGCGGUAAUACGGAGGAUCCGAGCGUUAUCCGGAUUUAUUGGGUUUAAAGGGAGCGUAGAUGGAUGUUUAAGUCAGUUGUGAAAGUUUGCGGCUCAACCGUAAAAUUGCAGUUGAUACUGGAUAUCUUGAGUGCAGUUGAGGCAGGCGGAAUUCGUGGUGCAGCGGUGAAAUGCUUAGAUAUCACGAAGAACUCCGAUUGCGAAGGCAGCCUGCUAAGCUGCAACUGACAUUGAGGCUCGAAAGUGUGGGUAUCAAACAGGAUUAGAUACCCUGGUAGUCCACACGGUAAACGAUGAAUACUCGCUGUUUGCGAUAUACUGCAAGCGGCCAAGCGAAAGCGUUAAGUAUUCCACCUGGGGAGUACGCCGGCAACGGUGAAACUCAAAGGAAUUGACGGGGGCCCGCACAAGCGGAGGAACAUGUGGUUUAAUUCGAUGAUACGCGAGGAACCUUACCCGGGCUUAAAUUGCAGAUGAAUUACGGUGAAAGCCGUAAGCCGCAAGGCAUCUGUGAAGGUGCUGCAUGGUUGUCGUCAGCUCGUGCCGUGAGGUGUCGGCUUAAGUGCCAUAACGAGCGCAACCCUUGUUGUCAGUUACUAACAGGUUCCGCUGAGGACUCUGACAAGACUGCCAUCGUAAGAUGUGAGGAGGGUGGGGAUGACGUCAAAUCAGCACGGCCCUUACGUCCGGGGCUACACACGUGUUACAAUGGGGGGUACAGAGGGCCGCUACCACGCGAGUGGAUGCCAAUCCCCAAAACCUCUCUCAGUUCGGACUGGAGUCUGCAACCCGACUCCACGAAGCUGGAUUCGCUAGUAAUCGCGCAUCAGCCACGGCGCGGUGAAUACGUUCCCGGGCCUUGUACACACCGCCCGUCAAGCCAUGGGAGCCGGGGGUACCUGAAGUGCGUAACCGCGAGGAGCGCCCUAGGGUAAAACUGGUGACUGGGGC
Molecule: ribosomal RNA, 1431 nt
Filed under: uncultured organism
Description: 16S ribosomal RNA
Rfam family: Bacterial small subunit ribosomal RNA
Source: RNAcentral